UACGGAGGAUCCAAGCGUUAUCCGGAUUUAUUGGGUUUAAAGGGUGCGUAGGCGGCUUUUUAAGUCAGUAGUGAAAUCUCGAGGCUCAACCUCGAACGUGCUAUUGAAACUGAAGAGCUUGAGUACAGACGAGGCAGGCGGAAUGUGUUAUGUAGCGGUGAAAUGCAUAGAGAUAACACAGAACACCGAUAGCGAAGGCA
This 200-nucleotide ribosomal RNA is filed under the name uncultured bacterium. Its description in RNAcentral is "partial 16S ribosomal RNA". It matches the Rfam family "Bacterial small subunit ribosomal RNA", at positions 524 to 723 of the family's 1533-position model. The record is from RNAcentral.